GUUUGCGUGGCCGAGAUGGCUUAUGGCACCACCCCGCUAAGGUGGAGUGCGGCUUGCUGCACCGAAGGUUCGAAUCCUUCCGCAAACG
Molecule: transfer RNA, 88 nt
Filed under: Lachnospiraceae bacterium
Lineage: Bacteria; Bacillati; Bacillota; Clostridia; Lachnospirales; Lachnospiraceae
Description: tRNA-Ser
Rfam family: tRNA
About the family: Transfer RNA (tRNA) molecules are approximately 80 nucleotides in length. Their secondary structure includes four short double-helical elements and three loops (D, anti-codon, and T loops). Further hydrogen bonds mediate the characteristic L-shaped molecular structure. tRNAs have two regions of fundamental functional importance: the anti-codon, which is responsible for specific mRNA codon recognition, and the 3' end, to which the tRNAs corresponding amino acid is attached (by aminoacyl-tRNA synthetases). tRNAs cope with the degeneracy of the genetic code in two manners: having more than one tRNA (with a specific anti-codon) for a particular amino acid; and 'wobble' base-pairing, i.e. permitting non-standard base-pairing at the 3rd anti-codon position.
Source: RNAcentral